GACGAACGCUGGCGGCGUGCUUAACACAUGCAAGUCGAACGGUAAGGCCCUUUCGGGGGUACACGAGUGGCGAACGGGUGAGUAACACGUGGGUGAUCUGCCCUGCACUUUGGGAUAAGCCUGGAAAACUGGGUCUAAUACCGGAUAGGACUACGCGAUGCAUGUCGUGUGGUGGAAAGCUUUUGCGGUGUGGGAUGGGCCCGCGGCCUAUCAGCUUGUUGGUGGGGUGAUGGCCUACCAAGGCGACGACGGGUAGCCGGCCUGAGAGGGUGUCCGGCCACACUGGGACUGAGAUACGGCCCAGACUCCUACGGGAGGCAGCAGUGGGGAAUAUUGCACAAUGGGCGCAAGCCUGAUGCAGCGACGCCGCGUGGGGGAUGACGGCCUUCGGGUUGUAAACCCCUUUCAGCACAGACGAAGCGUAAGUGACGGUAGGUGCAGAAGAAGCACCGGCCAACUACGUG
Molecule: ribosomal RNA, 464 nt
Filed under: uncultured bacterium
Lineage: Bacteria
Description: partial 16S ribosomal RNA
Rfam family: Bacterial small subunit ribosomal RNA
Source: RNAcentral